CGCUCCGCUUGUGGAGCAUCCCUCUUCCCCUGUACUUACCAAAGCCCUCAGUGGGAGCAUAAAUUUAACCCUUCUACUUUGGCGGCCCAGUGGCUGGGACAACUUCACAUUUACUUUGUUGUCAUGUGUCCCUACUAGACGGUCAGAACCCCGAGGCUGAGGAUUAUUAUAUCUAGUUUUGCUAACAAAUUUAAAUGCCAACCAGAGGAACAGUCUAUGAAACAGAACGAGUUGCUUUCACCACAGCAGAAGAUAAGUUCUUUGGUCAUUUGCUGAAUUACCAUGCCCAUCCUGCAUGUUUCUUUACCCCAAAGUAGGAAGGGCCUAACAGAUUAAAGAUGCUGCUCCCUCCAUUUUUAAAAUAAAUUUAAUGAGUAUUAA
This 381-nucleotide long non-coding RNA is filed under the name Mus caroli (Ryukyu mouse). RNAcentral's name for it is "lncRNA (MGP_CAROLIEiJ_G0002765.1)". The record is from RNAcentral. Lineage: Eukaryota; Metazoa; Chordata; Mammalia; Rodentia; Muridae.